GCCAAUGUAGGGACUCUAUGGGGUCGCUAUGGGGAUUCUACGGGGUUGGGGACCCUAUGGGGACACUAUAGGGACACUGUGGGGUUGGGGACGCCAUGGGGUCUCCAUGGGGUCGCUGUGGGGGCUCUAUGGGGUUGGGGACAUUAUGGGGUCGCUAUGGGGACACUGUGGGGUCGGGGGACGCUGUGGGGAUUCUAUGGGGUCGCUAUGGGGUUGGGGACACGAUGGGGGCUCUGUGGGGUCGCUGUAGGGACUGCAUGGGGGCUCUGUGGGGUUGGGGGCACAACGACCCCAUUUCUCCCCAAAUGUCCCCAUAAUGAGUCCCGCUGUCCCCAAAUUGUCCCCAAUUGUCCCCAAAUUGUCCCCAUGUUGCCGAAGGUCCCCGUUUUCCCCGAUUUGUCCCCAAACGUCCCCAAAUUGUCCCCAGUUGCCCCCCAAAUGUCCCCAAUUGUCCCCAAAUGGCCCCGUGUGGCCCCAAAUGGCCCCAAAUUGUCCCCAGAUGUCCCCAGUAACCCCAAAUGUUCCCCAAUGUCCCCAAUGGCCCCGCUGUCCCCAAAUGUCCCCAGUGUCCCCAAAGUCCCCAAAUGUCCCCAAUGUCUCCACUGUCCCCAAAUGUCCCCAAAUGUCCCCAAAGUCCCCAAAUGUCCCCAAUGUCCCCAGUGUCCCCAAAGAUCCCCCGCUGUCCCCCAAUGUCCCCAAAGUCCCCAAAUGUCCCCAAAGUCCCCAAUGUCCCCCAAUGUCCCCACUGUCCCCAAAGUCCCCAGGGACCCCAAA
Molecule: long non-coding RNA, 774 nt
Filed under: Phasianus colchicus (ring-necked pheasant)
Lineage: Eukaryota; Metazoa; Chordata; Aves; Galliformes; Phasianidae
Description: lncRNA (ENSPCLG00000017105.1)
Source: RNAcentral